UUGGACUAAACCAUGCUAACCAUUGCUAAAGCUCACAAUACGACAAGAUGGGAGAAAUGUCUGGGUCCUUGAUUGGCUUCAUAGAACAAAGCUCUCUCCACUGCCCACUAACUUUGAUUGGAUGGUGAUUAGGUUACAGUAUUGGCCCCAGGACUUCAUCAUGCACUGUAUCCAUGCCCUUUGCUACGACUUUGAAGUUCCUUCCACUGAAGGAGUGGAGUAUAUUUCCCUACCCGUUGAUUUUGGGUUCAGCCACAUGAUUUGCUUUGGUCAACAGAAUGAAAUGGAAGUAAUCGUGUUCAGUUCUGCACUUAGGCCUUAAGAGACUUCAUGUGUUUCUGCUUGCCUUCUUGUACUUCUACCAAUGCUAGAAGACUUCCCUGGGCCAGCCAGCUGCUCCAAGGAGGGUAGAGUUCAUCGUGGAGAGGACCAAGACAGAAGAUCAAGAAGAAUUUUUUUUUUAAUCUCUUCCCUUGUCCACCGAAAGACCAUCAAAACUAGAGAGAGAUUAUCAAAUGCCUGGUGACAAGUCCUCGGCUGCACUGGCUUCACAGGAGCUUAUGUGGAGAAGAAAAAGAAUUUGAGCCACAGCAACGAAACUCUAAAGUUGUUUCCAACUCUCUUACCAAAAGAGGCAUCCAGCCCAACAGCUCUCAACCUGGAGUAAAGCUCCCACGUGCCCUGUGGAGCAUCCUCGCUUUGAUUCCAUCCCUUUACUCCCAUUCAGAGAAUUCUACUUGAAUUUAAAUAAAUGACUCUUCUGCUAUUAUUGUGGUAAGCUUGAUUCUGCUGUGAUUUGAAAAGAACAAAAAAUAAAUUAUUGCAAAA
Molecule: long non-coding RNA, 828 nt
Filed under: Homo sapiens (human)
Lineage: Eukaryota; Metazoa; Chordata; Mammalia; Primates; Hominidae
Description: HSALNT0214783
Source: RNAcentral